AUUGAACGCUGGCGGCAUGCUUUACACAUGCAAGUCGAACGGUAACAGGCCGCAAGGUGCUGACGAGUGGCGAACGGGUGAGUAAUGCAUCUGAACGUGCCCAGUCGUGGGGGAUAACUACUCGGAAGAGUAGCUAAUAUCGCAUACGAUCUAUGGAUGAAAGCGGGGGACCGUAAGGCCUCGCGCGAUUGGAGCGGCCGAUGUCAGAUUAGGUAGUUGGUGGGGUAAAGGCUCACCAAGCCAACGAUCUGUAGCUGGUCUGAGAGGACGACCAGCCACGCUGGAACUGAGACACGGCCCAGACUCCUACGGGAGGCAGCAGUGGGGAAUUUUGGACAAUGGGCGCAAGCCUGAUCCAGCAAUGCCGCGUGCAGGAAGAAGGCCUUCGGGUUGUAAACUGCUUUUGUACGGAACGAAACGGCUCUGGUUAAUACCCGGGGCUAAUGACGGUACCGUAAGAAUAAGCACCGGCUAACUACGUG
Molecule: ribosomal RNA, 482 nt
Filed under: uncultured bacterium
Lineage: Bacteria
Description: partial 16S ribosomal RNA
Rfam family: Bacterial small subunit ribosomal RNA
Source: RNAcentral